AGUGAACGCUGGCGGUAGGCCUAACACAUGCAAGUCGAACGGCAGCACAGUAAGAGCUUGCUCUUACGGGUGGCGAGUGGCGGACGGGUGAGGAAUACAUCGGAAUCUACUUUUUCGUGGGGGAUAACGUAGGGAAACUUACGCUAAUACCGCAUACGACCUACGGGUGAAAGCAGGGGAUCUUCGGACCUUGCGCGAUUGAAUGAGCCGAUGUCGGAUUAGCUAGUUGGCGGGGUAAAGGCCCACCAAGGCGACGAUCCGUAGCUGGUCUGAGAGGAUGAUCAGCCACACUGGAACUGAGACACGGUCCAGACUCCUACGGGAGGCAGCAGUGGGGAAUCUUGGACAAUGGGCGCAAGCCUGAUCCAGCAAUACCGCGUGGGUGAAGAAGGCCUUCGGGUUGUAAAGCCCUUUUGUUGGGAAAGAAAAGCAGCAGGUUAAUACCCCGCUGUUCUGACGGUACCCAAAGAAUAAGCACCGGCUAACUUCGUG
This 492-nucleotide ribosomal RNA is filed under the name uncultured bacterium. RNAcentral's name for it is "partial 16S ribosomal RNA". It matches the Rfam family "Bacterial small subunit ribosomal RNA", at positions 29 to 507 of the family's 1533-position model. The record is from RNAcentral.